RNAcentral lists this ribosomal RNA (465 nucleotides) under uncultured bacterium. RNAcentral's name for it is "partial 16S ribosomal RNA". It matches the Rfam family "Bacterial small subunit ribosomal RNA", at positions 28 to 507 of the family's 1533-position model. The record is from RNAcentral.
GACGAACGCUGGCGGCGUGCUUAACACAUGCAAGUCGAACGGAAAGGCCCCUUUGGGGGUACUCGAGUGGCGAACGGGUGAGUAACACGUGAGUAACCUGCCCUUGACUUCGGGAUAACUUCAUGAAACUGGGGCUAAUACCGGAUAGGAAUCCUUGCUGCAUGGUGUGGGUUGGAAAGCUUCGGCGGUUUUGGAUGGACUCGCGGCUUAUCAGCUUGUUGGUGGGGUAGUGGCUUACCAAGGCGUUUACGGGUAGCCGGCCUGAGAGGGCGACCGGCCGCAUUGGGACUGAGAUACGGCCCAGCCUCCUACGGGAGGAAGCAGUGGGGAAUAUUGCAAAAUGGGCGGAAGCCUGCUGCAGCAACGCCGCGUGCGGGAUGACGGGCUUCGGGUUGUAAACCGCUUUCAGCAGGGGCGAAGCUUGUGGUGACGGUACCUGCAGAAGAAGCACCGGCUAACUACGUG